RNAcentral lists this long non-coding RNA (291 nucleotides) under Bos taurus (domestic cattle). RNAcentral's name for it is "long non-coding RNA NONBTAT021728". Lineage: Eukaryota; Metazoa; Chordata; Mammalia; Artiodactyla; Bovidae. The record is from RNAcentral.
UACAGACUGGCAAGAUUUUAAUACACUAGGACUAGGUUACAAAGUAUGGUUCCUUCCACAGAAAAGUACCUUCUGUUAAAUAAGCAAAAGCUUACCUUUUCCCCAUUAAGAUAUGAAAACUAAAAUAUAAACCAUUUUUAAAGAAAUUUCCUACAUUUUCAAUUAUUUGAUGACCUUGCUCCCAUCUUGGGAAGUCAGUCUCUCAUUUCCUUGGACUUCAGUGGAAGACAUAUAUAUAUGGGGCUUUUAAUUAGCAUUUAUCCAAUUUCAGCUAAAAAUGGUCAAGUAUCA